Long non-coding RNA from Suricata suricatta (meerkat), 407 nucleotides. RefSeq lists it as uncharacterized. Lineage: Eukaryota; Metazoa; Chordata; Mammalia; Carnivora; Herpestidae. The transcript is spliced from 3 exons. The record is from RefSeq and is a predicted model, not a curated record.
AACUCUUUUGAGGACUCCCACGUGAGGUUUGCUUCUAUUUUUUCAUUCCCUCUCCCCCGCCCCCACGUCUGGGAGGAUGAUCUUUCCUGAUUCCUAAACUGGUGGGAAUGGACAGAUCUUGUCACAGUCAAAGGCAAAUGGGACAUGAGGUUGAAGCAGUGUGGCUGGCACAGGGAAGACAUGAGAAGCAAUGAACAGUGUUACAAGAAAGGAUUGAGAAGGAGGACAAAUAAUUAUUUUGCUAUGCUGACUGGAUGAUGGGAAUUUUAGCCCUUGUUUAUUUUAUGUGGUUUCUGUAAUACAAAGUUAAAAAUGGCAACCAUGUAUCCAUGUGACCAAUUGCCCUUCUUCCCCCCCUGGUUAAAAGAAUAGACUGGAUAAAUCAAAUGGACUACCAUUUAGCAAUA